Molecule: ribosomal RNA, 274 nt
Filed under: uncultured bacterium
Lineage: Bacteria
Description: partial 16S ribosomal RNA
Rfam family: Bacterial small subunit ribosomal RNA
Source: RNAcentral
AUACGGAGGGUGCAAGCGUUAUCCGGAUUUAUUGGGUUUAAAGGGUGCGUAGGCGGAUCGGUCAGUCAGUGGUGAAAUCCCAUAGCUGAACUAUGGAACUGCCAUUGAUACUGCCAAUCUCGAGUAUAGUUGAAGUGGAUGGAAUGUAACAUGUAGCGGUGAAAUGCAUAGAUAUGUUACAGAACACCGAUUGCGAAGGCAGUUCACUAAACUAUUACUGACGCUGAGGCACGAAAGCGUGGGGAGCGAACAGGAUUAGAAACCCUAGUAGUCC